AUUGAACGCUGGCGGCAUGCCUUACACAUGCAAGUCGAACGGCAGCGGACCUUCGGGUGCCGGCGAGUGGCGAACGGGUGAGUAAUAUAUCGGAACGCACCUUUCAGUGGGGGAUAACGUAGCGAAAGUUACGCUAAUACCGCAUAUUCUGUGAGCAGGAAAGCAGGGGAUCGCAAGACCUUGCGCUGAUUGAGCGGCCGAUAUCAGAUUAGCUAGUUGGUGAGGUAAAGGCUCACCAAGGCGACGAUCUGUAGCGGGUCUGAGAGGAUGAUCCGCCACACUGGAACUGAGACACGGUCCAGACUCCUACGGGAGGCAGCAGUGGGGAAUUUUGGACAAUGGGCGCAAGCCUGAUCCAGCCAUGCCGCGUGAGUGAAGAAGGCCUCGGUUGUAA
Molecule: ribosomal RNA, 394 nt
Filed under: uncultured bacterium
Lineage: Bacteria
Description: bacterial SSU rRNA
Rfam family: Bacterial small subunit ribosomal RNA
Source: RNAcentral